RNAcentral lists this RNase P RNA (451 nucleotides) under Phycisphaerales bacterium. RNAcentral's name for it is "RNase P RNA component class A". It matches the Rfam family "Bacterial RNase P class A". Rfam says of the family: Ribonuclease P (RNase P) is a ubiquitous endoribonuclease, found in archaea, bacteria and eukarya as well as chloroplasts and mitochondria. The record is from RNAcentral. Lineage: Bacteria; Pseudomonadati; Planctomycetota; Phycisphaerae; Phycisphaerales.
CGACGUGGCGACGCGGCCGCUGGAUGAAACACGCCAGAGGAAAGUCCGAGCACGACAGGACACGAUGGUGGGUAACGCCCACCGGGCCCCGGGAACGGGGCUUAGGGAAAGUGCCACAGAGAACAUACCGCCGAUGGCCGGGGUUUCCGCAAGGGAACCACGGAUCAGGUCAGGGUGAAAAGGUGCGGUAAGAGCGCACCGCUCGCGUGGUGACACGCGGGGCAUGGCAAACCCCAUCGCGUGCAAGGUCACGCAGCCGUCGGGUGGUCGAAAGGCCCCCCACCGCCGGUCCGGCGGUUUGACGGCGGGUGGACUGCUCAAGCCCACGGGCAACCGUGGGAAUAGAGAAAUGGUCGCGGCGAUCCGAAGGUGAACCCCGAGCCCCCGUCAAUGGACAGAGGGUUCAAACCGCGGAUCAGCACAGAACUCGGCUUACACGCCACGUCGGUUC